GAGGAGGCCUCCACACAACUGUAUGGUCAUUCCAUCUGACCUUAAGAUCAUAUAUUCAAGUUUCAGAAACAGUCUUCUUGAUUGCAGGGGUAAGGUUGCGGCCAUCUACCUUUCCAGAGCAAUAGCAGGACCCUUAUGAUUGCUAUGUCCCUCUUUUUAGAGAAGCAAGAUAACCAUGGCUCGGAUAAGGUUAUGGAUGUAGU
Molecule: long non-coding RNA, 203 nt
Filed under: Olea europaea (common olive)
Lineage: Eukaryota; Viridiplantae; Streptophyta; Magnoliopsida; Lamiales; Oleaceae
Description: long non-coding RNA (OEUR_LNC008343)
Source: RNAcentral